Molecule: ribosomal RNA, 253 nt
Filed under: uncultured bacterium
Lineage: Bacteria
Description: partial 16S ribosomal RNA
Rfam family: Bacterial small subunit ribosomal RNA
Source: RNAcentral
UACGGGGGGGGCAAGCGUUGUUCGGAAUUACUGGGCGUAAAGGGCGCGUAGGCGGCCUUCUAAGUCGAACGUGAGAUCCCCGGGCUCAACCCGGGAACUGCGUCCGAUACUGGAAGGCUUGAAUCCGGGAGAGGGAUGCGGAAUUCCAGGUGUAGCGGUGAAAUGCGUAGAUAUCUGGAGGAACACCGGUGGCGAAGACGGCAUCCUGGACCGGUAUUGACGCUGAGGCGCGAAAGCCAGGGGAGCAAACGGG